This 309-nucleotide long non-coding RNA is filed under the name Chrysemys picta bellii (western painted turtle). RNAcentral describes it as "lncRNA (ENSCPBG00000010789.1)". The record is from RNAcentral. Lineage: Eukaryota; Metazoa; Chordata; Testudines; Emydidae.
AACAUUACUAUUUGUUUUAAUAUUUUCCAAUAAAAACAACUACUGUUUUAGUGACUGAUAUUUUAUUUCCUUUAAUAUUUAGGCAAGAAUUCCAUAGAAUAGCAAUAAAAAGAUAUCUAUUCCCUGCACCACCGAAGAGUCUUUGAACAAGCAAGCAGCUACCUUCUUUUUCGAGUGUCAGCCUGCUGGAAAGUCCUAUAAAGUGCAGUGCUGUGCUAUCACUUUAAGGAAUGCUGCAUGUGGAUACAACACUAAGGAAGCUGAAGCUUUGUAGAGCAUAUCAUCUCUCCAGGCCCCCAUCUCAGAUUG